Molecule: unclassified non-coding RNA, 198 nt
Filed under: uncultured fungus
Lineage: Eukaryota; Fungi
Description: sequence contains ITS1
Source: RNAcentral
UUGAUUCAUUUUGUUUUCGGGCUUUCGCCCCUCAGAGAAAUACGAUUAAAUCAGGGUUUGGUUUUCCCCGGCGGACGCCCGGAGGCCCGGAGGCCACCGCGCGCUGAGCCCGCCGAGGGAACGUUUGGUAAGUUCACAAUGGGUUGGAGAGCCUAGGGCACUCUGGUAAUGAUCCCUCCGCUGGUUCACCAACGGAGA